This is a long non-coding RNA of Pseudophryne corroboree (corroboree frog), 1503 nucleotides long. RefSeq lists it as uncharacterized. The transcript is spliced from 5 exons. Lineage: Eukaryota; Metazoa; Chordata; Amphibia; Anura; Myobatrachidae. The record is from RefSeq and is a predicted model, not a curated record.
ACUCCUAAUACCCACUGCUACACCUGAGCACAUACCUGUGUGUGUGAUUGCUGAUAAGAUUACAGGCAGGUGUGUGAGGGGAUGCACAGAAUGACAGGCAGGAGCAUGGCAUGUUAGUGCCAGGACUCACAAGUGGGUGACCCAGACACGACUGCUGCCAGCACCAGCAAACUUCCCAGCCUUUUACAUUUAGGAACAAACACAGUAAUAAAACAAGAUUAACAAACAGACAAAAGACCCUGCGCUGACACUCCGCGGCGAGCGGCUUUUGGUUACCAUGGUGACCAGGCCGGAGACCCGACGUGCUGCCUAGCAACUAGACGCCAGGGAGGGUGAGGCGGCGCGGAUGACGUAAUUCCCGCGAGACGCAGGAGGCCCCCGGCGCGGCAGGAAGCGCGGGAGAAGCUCGUCUUCACGGGUGAUGGACACUGGCUUUAUAAGGGACAUGCAGCCCUCCCACAACCAGCACCGGGUUUUGGAACUGCAUUAGCCAUGGCAACCUCUAGGGUGCAGCUAAAUUAUGUCAUCAAUGGACUUCAACCCUCUUUGGUGAGAGCACAUGUCCUUAGGGGUAUAAGGUUAUUAUUCAACUGAAGGUCUUAUUUGUGAAGUGUGAGCCAGCGCCGGAAUGCGCAUGAUCGCCCAAGCAAAAUAAAUCCUUGAAUUAAAAAAAGCUAUAGGGAUUGCAUAAGAAAAGGACGAUGGAACGCAGACCGGCGCUGGAACGCAUCCUGGAUUUCCGGGUUACGUCACAUCCGCCCAGACGUUUAUAAAUUCAUAUGGUCCCUUUUCUGUUUGUCCUGUUUAUUGUGUAUCAGUAUUGGUUGACGGCUUCUUACUGAUGUAGUUUGUGGAUAUGGGGUUGAAGGUGCUGUAUAUUUUAAUAUUUCGUGUAUUUUGUGUGUUUGAUAAAUUUACGAUACAAAUCCACGCUGGAACGCAUACGCAACUUCCGGUUGGUGGAAUAUCCGCCGGAAGGAAAUGCUCCUAAAUCGAUCUGCACAUGUGUUUUGAAUUUUACAAUUAGGAGGUCUUUAAAAGGACUGCACACGUACUCUUACCACACUUCUGAUGAAGGAUCCUAUGUGAUCCGAAACGCGUUAAGUGUGGUUGUGGAUUUUCUACUCUUGUGGACACCUGAGGACGCUGCCUGUUACCGCGAGGACUGACGACUUCAAAUUCCGGCAUUGAGGCCGUCGCUACCUCUUGGAGACCAUCUGUAGACGUUUGUGAGCUGUCUUGCUGUGUCCUUAUGUGCCACUGGGUUUUUACAUGCGAUUUUAACUUUAUCUUUUUGUAAGUGCAACUUAAUUAAAACAACAGCCUUGUUUUUAUUACUGCACUAUCAUUGUUUUAUUUCUUGUACUUUGAGGCCGUCGUUAUCUCUUGGAGACCAUCUGUUAGACGUCGGUGAGCUGACUUGCUGUACCUUUGUGUGCGACUGGGUCUUUACAUGCGAUUAUAACUCUAUUUUGCUGUAAGUGCAACUUAUUAUUAAAACAU